UUACUCCCCUGCUGGUGCCUCCCUCCUUGGCGCGCUUCCCACCUGCGAUCGGCGCCCUCUUCGCAGUCACGAACUCGCCAGCAGCUAGCAGCACUGACUAGUAGGAGGGCCCGCCGGAGGAGAGGACAUGCUCUGGAGUCAGAAGACAGCGAAAAGAGAAGCAGAAGCCCCGGUGGCAAGAGUCUGAAGCAGGAAGGAUGACUGUAGCCUGUGGAUUGUACUGCAGUAGGAAACUGUCCUAGCAAGGCUCCACUUUGCCCCAGCUUCAAGCUGGAAAGGAGGAGAACAUGAAACAUUGCUUGAAGACAAUGGCCGAGACAGCAGGUCCCACCCUGCACAGCCACCAGCAUCUCUCCCCUCAGCCCUGUCUCCUCUUCUGCAGUUGGGAUCUGCACAUUUAAGCCUGAAAUUGUCCUGUGAAGUGAAGUAUGAUCGGACAGCCUCUUUUCAGCUUUUAUGACAAUGGAGACAGAGGAAUUGUGGCUCUUGCCAAGGUCACAGGAUUGGAAUACAGAGCCAAGCCACCCCAGGACAUGCAAGAGCCUCAGAAGGGAAAAAAGCCCAGCAGGAAGGGAGAACAAGUAGCCUCUGUCCUGAAGUUGUAACAGCCAGGGGCCAGGAUGGAGGAGGAGGACCCCAUAAUCUGCCCAUCUGGGACUUGGCAGGGGACCUGGGAAAAUGUACCCCAACCCAUCCCUUAAGGGCCUUUGUCUUUGGCCCAUUGGCCUAGCAUCUACUUCUUCACCGUGUCUGUUCUUGUCACACCUAGUCAGGUCUGUUUGGGUCUGAGGUGCAUGGAACAUUCUGGGUAGGCCUCCAGCAAACGGAAGCUCUUCACCGUGUUUCCAGCCUGGGACCAAGGGCAGCAUACUGGCAAAGUUGCCAAAGCAAGGGACUCCAGCCUCUUAGGAGUUAAUGACUCCCUCUCCCCAGCUGUCCUCCCCUUGGUGCUCCUCUUCCUCCCUCCUCCUGCUCACAGCAGGCAGGGCCUAGACCCGGGAGCCAUGCUGCUGUGCUGUUGCCAGGGGAGCACGGAGGCAGAUCUGAGCUAUGCAGGGAAAAGGCCCAGCCUGUCAAAGUGUCUGAGAUGAACCGCCGCCGUCCCUGUGCAGCUGGGCUCAGACGUGUCUCAGCUCUUGUUCUGUGCCUGAGAAUGGCGAAACCCAGUGAGGUUCAAGGGCAAACUCGCUAUUCAUUAGUCAGGGGUUCUUGACGUCCCGUCUCUCCCAGGGAUGAGUUCCCCCCUCCUCUUUCUCCCCCUCCUAUGACACAUUCCUGGGUGCCUUUGGUGAGGACUGCACACCCUCCUCCUGCCUAGCCCCCUCUCCAAAGGCCCCUGAAUAAACUCCCCCCAAGGAGACCAGGCAGGGCAGAGACAAUGGCUGCAGGAAAUCAUUCAGGCGGGACAUGCUGGCCUGCCCUCCACCCAGUCCCCCUGUGGGCCCCACUCCCUUCUGAUUCAGGGCACCCUUGGGCCCCCAGCCUAUACAGGCCUGGACAGGAAGAAACCACUGGGAACCACCCUAAGGACAACAUGCUAGUCCAGUGCCAUUCUUCGCUGGCUCUGUGGGUGCCUUUGUGGCCUGUACCGACUGGCUGGCUAAUUUUGUGGUUUCUGUACCAUCACAUGCCUAUUUUAAGACACUCUCCAGCACUGUCGGUUAGGGAGUGUAAAUUUUGCAAUAUUUUCUGAAAUGUGGCAAUAUCAAAAUGUAAAAGGCACACAUACUUGGUCACAAACAAAUGGCACUAUUUACUCUGUGGGCAUAUUUGUAAAAGUUGCCAAAGAAUUAUAUACAAGGAUGUUCAUCAGAGCAUUUCUUUUGAAGAGUAAAGAAAUGGACAUGAACCUGUGGUCCGUUCAUACGGUGGAAUACCUAUGCAGCUGUAAAAAUCAGUGUGGUAGAUCUCCGUAUAUGAGUUGAUGUGGAAGGUUGGCCAGUUCACAUGAUAAGGUGAAUAGAAUAAGUUACAGAACAGGCUGUAGAGUAUGAUCUUAUUUGUAGAUGUUUAAAACUGAGUCAUAAGUAUGCUUAUAUACAGAUCGUUUCUGGAAGUAUGUACUGGAAGUCUACCUCUGGGGAGUGGGGAUGGGGGAGUGCACUCUUCUAUACUGUUAUAUUUUCUUUUCAUGCUCCUAAGGUACUUUUAUUGGAAGAUGUAAAGCGGUUCAAUGUAAUAGGCUUAACUUCUGUCAACUAAGUUGGCGUGGGUGCUUUAAGAGGGUGGUAGUGAUGUUGCUGGAGAAAGUAUCCCACAGUCACUGGUGGCUUCAGCCACGGGCCAUUUUGGGGCCUAAUAAUCACAUAUCAUCAUGGUUGCUAGUGUUAAUCGAAAACCUACUAAGUGCCAGGCUUACUGUCUCUGGGUCUUGCUUACGUGGAUGUCAUUUUUCCAGUUGCACCAAAUCGAAAGAGGUUAAUUGGUUUGUUGGAGUUCCUUUGUAGGUGAAGGGCAGAGCCAGGAGCUUGGCUAGGGACAGGGGAGGUGAGUGGGGGAUGGUGGAUAGGUCUUGGCUCCCAGUUUCCUUCUGGGCAGACAUUGCCCCUCUGCCCUGAGGACCUGCUUGUUUGGGGGAAGAGGCCUUUAGAGGCACCAGGGUCAUGCCAGGUGUUGGACAUGGUGAACUGGGAAGUGCUCCCAUCUGGCCACAGCGCAGAAGUAUCACCGUGCUGGGGGAUGGGGAACAGGGCUGUGAAUGGGCCUAUUUGCAUAAGCAGCAUGUGUCUGGAGAGAAAGACAUCACAGAGCAGAAGAGUGCGGGUGCCCAGGAGUGCACUUGCCACCCCUACUUCAUCCCUGAAAGAGUAAAUGGCCUGGAAGGUGUCUCUGAGAGGUAAUGCCGCACACCACCCUCCCUGGGGGCAGGGUCAGGCUACACCUGCCUUAGGUCGGGGGCUGCAGCAGCCUGAGAGCUCUCAGUAGGGCCUCAGUAGCCUGGGAGGGAGCAGGGGCAGGGGGCAGGGAAAGAGGCGUAAUGGGGCUGUCCAGAGGGGCCUGGGAAACCUGGUCCCUGAGGCCUGGGCACAGCUACAAUCACUUCAAAUUGGCUGUGGGGCCAGUGGACUGGGAAGGAAAAAAGCAAUAAGAGUGACCAAGUGCAGAAGGCUGUCAGGUCCCAGGUCACAUGCCUUAGUGCAGUGACUCCUCAUCAUUUUAUGGGGUGUGGGUGUCGUUGGUACACCCAUUUUACAGAUGAGGACACCGAGGCCCAGAAAAGUUAAGUUACAUGUCCUAAGUCACACAGCUUGUAAGUGCCAGAACUGAGAUCAAAACCAAGUCUCUUUGACUUUAAAGUCUGUACUCUGACCCCAAAGAGAUCCUGUUUGGCCACUUAUAGGAGGUCCCUAAAGCUGCAGACUCCCCUUGCCGGCACCCACAUAUAGAGACAUUAACCCUUCCCCUGCAGGGUCACCUCAAAUAGUCUUUUAGCUGGGCUUCUCCUGCAAUUCCACCUAAUGCCAUCCCCUGGGUUUUGCCCAAACCUGAACUGGGCAGUGGGGUGAGAGGAGGGGUUUACAGGGUUACAGAGCCUCAUACAGAUAGGAGCCCAUGGCUGCUGGUCAUCUGCAUUCCUGCAGGAUUGGCUGUUCCUUGGGGUCCUUGGCAGGAAAAUGAGGAUUGCUCCGAGGCCUGCUCCAGUACUUCCCAGAGGCUGGCCUGGUGUGGGGCUCUGGGAAGGCUGAGGCUGGAGAAGCGUAAGUAGGAGGGCAGAGAUGGCACUCAGGUAGCUUGAAUCACCAGGACCCUUCCAAGCCCCACAGGUUCUGAGGGAGUACUAGGGCCAGCUCUGGGAGAGGUCUCUUCCUAUGCUGUGAACCCCCUGCCUUUCUUGCAGCCUACAACGAAUAAAUUUUCUUUGCAAAGG
Molecule: long non-coding RNA, 3868 nt
Filed under: Homo sapiens (human)
Lineage: Eukaryota; Metazoa; Chordata; Mammalia; Primates; Hominidae
Description: non-protein coding MIR9-3HG:15
Source: RNAcentral